This 103-nucleotide transfer RNA is filed under the name Sclerotinia borealis F-4128. It matches the Rfam family "tRNA". Rfam says of the family: Transfer RNA (tRNA) molecules are approximately 80 nucleotides in length. The record is from Rfam by way of RNAcentral. Lineage: Eukaryota; Fungi; Ascomycota; Leotiomycetes; Helotiales; Sclerotiniaceae.
UCCGAAUUAGUGUAGGGGUUAACAUAACUCGCUUUCAAACAUCAUCUACUCUGUAGUUGAUUAAUGAUCCGAGUAGCCCCGGGUUCGAUUCCCGGAUUCGGAA